CCUCCUUUCUAAGAGAAUUCUAGAAUACGUUCUAGAAUUAAAUAAAGUUCACCACCUUCACAUUCCUUUAUCUUUACAUUUCCAAAAGGGCUAGUAGCUCAGUUGGUUAGAGCACACGCUUGAUAAGCGUGGGGUCGGAGGUUCAAAUCCUCCCUGGCCCACCAUUAAAGGGGGCGUAGCUCAGUUGGGAGAGCGGUAGCUUUGCAAGCUAUAGGUCGUCGGUUCGAUCCCGUCCGCCUCCACCAACAAAACCAAUCUGAGAGUUGUUUGAAAAGUUAAUAAUGAUUAAGUAUUGAAAAAAUUAAAAUUUCUUCUUUUUUUAUAUUAUGUAUAAAAAAAGUUUGAGAGUUCAAUAAAGUAUGAAAAGGGCGUUUAGUGGAUGCCUUGGCAUUGAGAGGCGAUGAAGGACGUAGCACGCUGCGAUAAGCUUCGGGGAGUUGCGAGCCAACUUUAAUCCGAAGAUUCCGAAUGGGGA
Molecule: unclassified non-coding RNA, 475 nt
Filed under: uncultured Alphaproteobacteria bacterium
Lineage: Bacteria; Pseudomonadati; Pseudomonadota; Alphaproteobacteria
Description: partial 16S-23S ribosomal RNA intergenic spacer
Rfam family: Bacterial large subunit ribosomal RNA (bases 353-475)
Source: RNAcentral